CAAGGGCAAUGUAUGCCUCCAUGCACUGACCCAACAAGACAAUGAUAUCAGCAAAGAAGGAUACAACUCCAUCUCACAUCAAGUUCGUAAAAAAUAACACUAGGGACUCUUCUAUCAUGGGAAUUUGUUUUGGUGACAACUAAACUCUUCAAUAAACACAGUAUGAGGCUUGUUGCAUGUCAACACCAUGAUCAUGUUGAUAAUGGAGAAGUCUUGAGGAUCAAGGCAUAUGUUCCUACAAAUUAAAAGAAAAAAAAAAGGAUUACUUCUGAAUCAAUUAAAGCCAUAAACUUGAACAUGUGAUCCUAAGAAAAGCAUAAAAAUUUUAGAGCAAUCAAAUACAGCCACUAUUUCACUGAUUAGUAAUAAAGAACCAUGUAGCUGUAAGAGU
Molecule: long non-coding RNA, 391 nt
Filed under: Vitis vinifera (wine grape)
Lineage: Eukaryota; Viridiplantae; Streptophyta; Magnoliopsida; Vitales; Vitaceae
Description: long non-coding RNA (VVIN_LNC005644)
Source: RNAcentral